UACGGAGGAUCCGAGCGUUAUCCGGAUUUAUUGGGUUUAAAGGGUGCGCAGGCGGGAGAUUAAGUCGGCGGUGAAAUUUUGCAGCUCAACUGUAAAAGUGCCUUCGAAACUGGUUUCCUUGAGUGUGGAUGAAGUAGGCGGAAUUUGUGGUGUAGUGGUGAAAUGCAUAGAUAUCACGAGGAACUCCGAUUGCGCAGGCAGCUUACUAAACUACUACUGACGCUCAGGCACGAAGGCGUGGGGAUCAAACAGGAUUAGAUACCCGUGUA
Molecule: ribosomal RNA, 269 nt
Filed under: uncultured prokaryote
Description: partial 16S ribosomal RNA
Rfam family: Bacterial small subunit ribosomal RNA
Source: RNAcentral